UCGCAGCUUAUUCCGGCCCAUCUAUUCAUGUAUUUAUAGACUUGAGUUUACAUGGUAACUCCCCACACCAUGUCGUACAGGUGCGCGACUCGCGCGCCACAUGCGCUGUGUGCGCCAUGGCGUGGCAUGACCGAACUAGACCGGGAUUACGAUCGGGCAUGUCACCAAACGUUUCUCCCCUAAACCGACUGAAACUGAUGCUAAGACUUACUGAAACAAAGCUAACAAGAUACUGCAACAAUUUAGCUAACACCGGAGAUAUGCCGCCAACUGGAUAACCAUUCUCAAACUCCUGAUCUGUCUAAUUAGGCUCUUGUAAUGCUGACCAUGAUCUGGAGAGACCUGCUGGUGGCCAGAAUGUUCAUAAAACAUUGGCACCGCAUGUAAAAUAGCUGCACCGGAUGUACAUGAUCCCGAGUGGCAGCGAUCUGUGCUACACUAGCAUGUCCUUCUUUCCCGAUGUCUCAAAUUCCUAUGCCUCAUGUUUUUUCUUCUUUUCCAGUUGUCCCUCAUCAUCUCUGAUUUGUUUAUACGCUAACACUAAUAUGUUCACGAAAAGGAGAGGUGGUAUCAGGUCAUGUGUGGCUUAUGCAGAGAUAGUAUUGUACAGGCAAGUGAGUGGUGCCAUAUUUAUACUAGCAUCCCUAUAGGUUUUGUUGAUUGGUAGGUAACUAUUUAACUUGUGCAUAAUUUAUGAGAAAUUUUUGUGGUGGAUAGAAAUGAUAUGGGCCAUCCACCGAGAGAGACUAAAUUAAAUGGUAAAAAUACAGAAGACGCGUAUUGAAAGUACUUUAAUCAAACAAGUGGGGAUAAUUACUGAAAACGGUGCGACUAGUGUCCAUAUAUUACUACCAAAGGCUAAAGCGAUGUUGAUUUACUGACCAGUGUCCUUGGCCCUGUCUAUCAUCUACUACAUCUUUCUUGGGGCAAUUCGGGUGGGUCAUCAGGCCCAUAAUGAUGUGAAAAAAUUGUGUUGGAUCCUCUGCCACCAUUCUCCCUCUUGUCCUGCAUCAACGUCGGUCCCUAUCCGCCGCCACUCAGCUCGAUUGAUCGGCAACUGCUUACUCCCUCAAGGCCGUGUGGCUAGGGUUUCCAAGAUGACAUGGUGUAGUGUCAGCCUGGUGGCGACAACAGCUUCGAAAUCUGGCCACUGGCUAGCUGCUGGGUGACAAGAUCUGGGCAUCCGUCCUCAGUUGCAUAAGAUUCUCAAUUUGAUUAUUCAGUAUUCUGUUAGAUGAAGUCUGUGGUGUUGGCAAUGCUUCUGCAUAUGAGUGAGAAACAGGCCAGUUUACUGCAUAUGAGUGAGAAACAGGCCAGUUUACUAUUUUGUAUGCAAAAGUGCUGCUGCAGUAUAAUUCUACGUUGCAAUCAAUCACAGAUGCGAGCUUUUACUACACUGAAAUAUUUUACUUUGAUUGGAGCAAUACAAACAAUGGUUGAUAUCAAACUUUUAAAUGGGAGCUUUUACCAUAUAAAACAUUUUACCUAUUGCAUUUACCUGUCAAUGGAAUGAAUUAUAGAAUCCUUAUUGGGCACGCAUCCUUAAUCAUGUACUGAUGAGUCACUUAAGAUUGGCUACCAGUUACUACCACAUUGAAAGAAGAGGAAGUAUCAUAUUCAUGGAGUUCCUAACACCUACCACAUAAGUAAACAAAUUCAAUAUGCCAGUUGUUGGGAGGGAACUAAAGAGCCCAGGUACUAUCAGCGAGAUGCUUCUUGUCCGUCUCAUCCAUUGUCAGGAAACAAGAAUUACAAAAUAUACGUACCGACACUUAAAUUAGAAAAUGCAUUGUGCUGGGGUGGAUGGCACUAGUCCUCUUCUGCAACCAAGUUUAUUGUGUUGUAUGGGGGGGAGGUAUGGACAACUUUAGGAUCAGAUAAACUGCUACCACAUCAAGUACAGUUUCAGAGGGAGAAGCAGAAGGACAUAUGGAACAAGUGACAUUGUUCUAAUUCAUGUUGCCUCACUCUCAUAUGGUACUGAUGCACUUGGCACAACAUCGCCAGUUGACGUUUUUGUGGUAACUUCAGGAACAGACAUAGUUUGAGUUGUAGUUUCAGCUGCAGGGCUAAUGUAUGCAUUCAUUUGGUGCUUGUGAUGAUACUAGCUAACUAUAUGCGAACACACACCAAUGGAUGCACGGUGACAGUGGUGCCGGUGCUGGAGAAGAAAGAGAGAUUUAGUGUUCUAUUGUUAUUGUUAUCCCACACUAGUCCAUCCUAGUCCUCAAGAUGUUUAUCCCAUCACAUGCCCGUGGGUUGACACGAGAGAUGCCAGCCAAUACUAGGCACACAGGUGACAGGCCACUCGUGCAAACGCACUAGGCUCAUGCCUCAACACUGGCCUUAGAAGCUCAGAGCCAUAGGCCAGUCAUGACAGAGCUGCCGCUUGCCGAGAGCCUACCACCAGAGCAUGUGCGAUGGUGGUGUUCACUGUUGGUGUGCUUGGGCAGUAGGGCCCAUGGACAUAUGCCCAUAUGCCUAAGCUAUGGCCAAUAGUGACAAGGAGAAACCAGCCAGCCAGCAUGUCGGCACCAGGACGUGGGUUAGCAACGAAACUACAGAUGAGAACUGACUCCUCUCUGUUUGGAUCCACUGUUGGCCAUUGUAUAUAGGAACAGGCAUAUGCCUCUUUCACGACAUCUCCAAUUCCCAUGACUUACUGUUUCUUUUCCAGUUCCCACACAUUAGGCAUCAUCUUAUCUGUUUAUGCUAGUAGUAACGUGCUCACAAAAAGGAGG
Molecule: long non-coding RNA, 2741 nt
Filed under: Sorghum bicolor (sorghum)
Lineage: Eukaryota; Viridiplantae; Streptophyta; Magnoliopsida; Poales; Poaceae
Description: long non-coding RNA (SBIC_LNC002053)
Source: RNAcentral